UGCAGUGUAGUGGUUACACACCUGGACUCUGGAACCAGACAACCUGGGUUCGAAUCCCAUCUCUGCAA
Molecule: transfer RNA, 68 nt
Filed under: Equus caballus (horse)
Lineage: Eukaryota; Metazoa; Chordata; Mammalia; Perissodactyla; Equidae
Rfam family: tRNA
About the family: Transfer RNA (tRNA) molecules are approximately 80 nucleotides in length. Their secondary structure includes four short double-helical elements and three loops (D, anti-codon, and T loops).
Source: Rfam by way of RNAcentral